ACUCCUACGGGAGGCAGCAGUGGGGAAUAUCGCAGCAAAUGGGAACCCUGAUGCAGCCAUGCCGCGUGUGUGAAGAAGGCCUUCGGGUUGUAAAGCACUUUCAGUAGGGAGGAAGGUAGUGUAGUUAACACCUGCACUAUUUGACGUUACCUACAGAAGAAGCACCGGCUAACUCCGUGCCAGCAGCCGCGGUAAUACGGAGGGUGCGAGCGUUAAUCGGAAUUACUGGGCGUAAAGCGCAUGCAGGCGGCCUGUUAAGUCAGAUGUGAAAGCCCGGGGCUUAACCUCGGAAUUGCAUUUGAAACUGGUAGGCUAGAGUCUUGUAGAGGGGGUAGGAAUUUCGAUGGUGUGAG
RNAcentral lists this ribosomal RNA (353 nucleotides) under uncultured bacterium. RNAcentral describes it as "bacterial SSU rRNA". It matches the Rfam family "Bacterial small subunit ribosomal RNA", at positions 335 to 681 of the family's 1533-position model. The record is from RNAcentral.